GAUGAAGAACGUAGCGAAAUGCGAUAAGUAAUGUGAAUUGCAGAAUUCAGUGAAUCAUCGAAUCUUUGAACGCGCAUUGCGCCCGCCAGUAUUCUGGUGGGCAUGCCUGUUCGAGCGUCAUUACAACCCUCAGGCCCCCGGGCCUGGCGUUGGGGAUCGGCGGAAGCCCCCUGUGGGCACACGCCGUCCCUCAAAUACAGUGGCGGUCCCGCCGCAGCUUCCAUUGCGUAGUAGCUAACACCUCGCAACUGGAGAGCGGCGCGGCCAUGCCGUAAAACACCCAACUUCUGAAUGUUGACCUCGAAUCAGGUAGGAAUACCCGCUGAACUUAAGCAUAUCAAUAAGCGGAGGA
This 352-nucleotide unclassified non-coding RNA is filed under the name soil metagenome. Its description in RNAcentral is "partial contains 5.8S ribosomal RNA, internal transcribed spacer 2, and large subunit ribosomal RNA". The stretch from base 1 to 120 matches the Rfam family "5.8S ribosomal RNA", at positions 35 to 154 of the family's 154-position model. The record is from RNAcentral.